AGAGAGAGACAUGCGCGCAUAUCAAUAAGCGGAGGAAAAGAAACUAACAAGGAUUCCCCUAGUAACGGCGAGGUGAAGCGGGAAGAGCUCAAAUUUGAAAUCUUAAAGGGUUUCCCUUUACGAACUGUAGUUUAAAGAAGUGUUUUCUGUUGAGGUUUUGGUAAAAGUUCUUUGGAAUAGGACAUCAUAGAGGGUGAGAAUCCCGUAUUUGACCUUUACUUUCAACUUUGUGAUACACUUUCAAAGAGUCGGAUUGUUUGGGAAUGCAGUCCAAAAUGGGUGGUAAAUUUCAUCUAAAGCGAAAUAUUGGCGAGAGACCGAUAGCGAACAAGUACCGUGAGGGAAAGAUGAAAAGAACUUUGAAAAGAGAGUUAAACAGUACGUGAAAUUGUCAAAAGGGAAGCGUUUGACACCAGUGUUGUUUUUCUGAAAAUCAAUUAAAGAACUGUUUAUGCUAAGUUGUUUAGACUUUAUCAGCUAACUGUUUAGUUUUGAGCUUUUCUUUAAUGCACUUUUCAGUUAACAAGUCAACAUCAAUUUCUUUUGCUGUAAAAAAGCUUGAGGAAGGUGGCUUGAGAUUCGUCUUAAGUGUUUAUAGCCUCUUGCCUAUGCAGUCGGAGAGAUUGAGGUCUGCAGCGUAGAUCCUUCGGGGCUAAAUGCAUUUGUGCUAAGUUAUAGCAUUUUAUAGACAACUUGUUGACUAUGAUUUGUCUUGUAGCUUACUCGCUUAUGUUAUUUUACCUACGCUUAGGAUGUUGAGCGCAUGUCUCUCUCU
Molecule: ribosomal RNA, 775 nt
Filed under: uncultured Neocallimastigales
Lineage: Eukaryota; Fungi; Neocallimastigomycota; Neocallimastigomycetes; Neocallimastigales
Description: partial large subunit ribosomal RNA
Rfam family: Eukaryotic large subunit ribosomal RNA
Source: RNAcentral